RNAcentral lists this ribosomal RNA (193 nucleotides) under uncultured bacterium. Its description in RNAcentral is "partial 16S ribosomal RNA". It matches the Rfam family "Bacterial small subunit ribosomal RNA", at positions 1307 to 1500 of the family's 1533-position model. The record is from RNAcentral.
GAAAUUCGCCUUCAUGAAGCCGGAAUUGCUAGUAAUGGCAGGUCAGCAUACUGCCGUGAAUACGUUCCCGGGCCUUGUACACACCGCCCGUCACACCAUGAGAGUUGGGAAUACCCGAAGCCUGUGAGCUAACGUUAAGAGGCAGCAGUCGAAGGUAGAAUCAAUGAUUGGGGUGAAGUCGUAACAAGGUACC